RNAcentral lists this ribosomal RNA (733 nucleotides) under uncultured archaeon. RNAcentral describes it as "bacterial SSU rRNA". It matches the Rfam family "Archaeal small subunit ribosomal RNA", at positions 1 to 695 of the family's 1478-position model. The record is from RNAcentral.
AGUACACACCGCCCGUAUUCCGGUUGAUCCUGCCGGACCCGACCGGUAUCGGGGUGGGGCUAAGCCAUGCAAGUCGUACGUCCUCCAGCCACGUGGGGGACGUGGCGCACGGCUCAGUAGUACGCAGCUAACCUACCCUAAGGAGGGGGAUAAUCCCGGGAAACUGGGGCUAAUCCCUAAUAGACCUGGGGCACUGGAAGGUCCCUAGGUUGAAACGGGUGAGCUGGCAUGCCGGUUCACCUGCCUUAGGAUGGGGCUGCGUCCGAUCAGGUAGUUGGUGGGGUAAUGGCCCACCAAGCCUAUGACCGGUGCGGGCUCUGAGAGGAGGAGCCCGGAGAUGGACCCUGAGACAAGGGUCCAGGCCCUACGGGGCGCAGCAGGCGCGAAACCUUCGCAAUGCCCGAAAGGGUGACGAGGCUACCCCGAGUGUCGUCCGCUAAGGACGGCUUUUGUCGGGUCUAAAAAGCCCGACGAAUAAGGGGAGGGCAAGUCUGGUGUCAGCCGCCGCGGUAAUACCAGCUCCCCGACUGGUCGGGACGAUUAUUGGGUCUAAAGCGUCCGUAGCCGGCCCUGUAUGUGAUCCGUUAAAUCCAGCGGCUCAACCGCUGGGCUGCGGAUCAUACUAUGGGGCUAGGGGACGGGAGAGGCCGGAGGUACUCCGCGGGUAGGGGUAAAAUCCGCUGAUCCGCGGAAGACCAACAGUGGCGAAGGCGUCCGGCAGGAUCAACCGGAA